GAACAGUUCCCUUCUCCUCUUUAGAGCAGAAGGCAACAGCAGUAACAGGUAAUUAGCAAGAACUGGAAGGACGGCAUAUUUUCUACACUGGGUGACAAUAUUGAGUUCAAUUGAGUGAAAGAAACAACCACAUGACAGGAAACAUAGCUAACAACAUCUCUUGAGCUUUCUGCCUCGCAGCUUCAGCCCCAAGAUAGACACCAAGCUGACUCUCUUUCAGCUUCAAAUCAAAUAUCCCAAGGAAGAGACGCAUCAAUCCAGCUUGGAACAGAUACCAUCUUUGCACAGGAUUUAGUGAAUCACAGCUCUAUCCCGUGAGAAUUUAAAAUGCCUAUUUCCCAAACGUGCCCACCAAGUACUUUCAUCCAAAAACAUUUACAUCUCGGGUGAACUCAAGUUGGUGUCAAGACAGUUUGGGAAAUGCUGACCUUGAUCGUGACAGACUCAAAAAAAUCUCAAGGAGGGCUGCCAUCAUCACAAAGACUUCUGAUCCAUCUAGUUUUGUUACUGAGACUUCUCUGAAGCAGCUGUCUCCCCCCCAAGCUUUCUGACUGUUUCAGGCACAAAGAGAAGGAAAAACAGGAAGAAAUUCCAGAAGACGAUUAUUGGACCCUAUUCUUGGAUAAGAUGCCUUCAAGUCUCGCCCACCAGCAAAGCUGCAAUAGGAGUUUUGAUUCUUUUGUGAAGGAGAAACCUUCUUUUGCAAGUUUCACGGGAAGAGAUUUAUUUGUUUGCUUUUUGUGUCUUGUUAUUUGCCAUUAACUUGAUCAAUUCAAUUCUCUAAUGGACUUUGUACUCUAAAAACACAUUUCUUGUUCAGGACUUGGGCGAAAAAACACCCUCCACGCACAGGUAUUUUCAAUUUUUUAAAAUCUAUCCUUUAGGUGAGUCUGUUGAAAAUUACUAUGAUAAUGUCUGCAGGUGGUCAGGGAUGAUAGACUCAGACGUAAGGCUUUGUCGCUGGCGAGAUCUGUCCGCAUUGCAGGAAGGAAAGAGCAAGAGCUUACCAACCAGAAGCUGGGCAGCCUCCACUCUCCAGUUCCUCAACAUAUCAAAACUACAGACUUUCCUGUAUUCAUAAAGGCUACUAAGGUCCCUGCUAGAUUAGCCUUGAGGCCAAUGAAGCAGGAGGGACCUCGUGACAGUAGGUGGGCAAGGAGACCUCUGAACACUCCUCUUGUAGGAGACACCAGACCUCAUGGUCCUAAGUUAGCAACCUUAAAAAGGACUAUUUCAAGAGGGCCUCAUGACACACAUUUGAAA
This 1263-nucleotide long non-coding RNA is filed under the name Equus caballus (horse). RNAcentral's name for it is "lncRNA (ENSECAG00000043265.2)". Lineage: Eukaryota; Metazoa; Chordata; Mammalia; Perissodactyla; Equidae. The record is from RNAcentral.